CAGUAGCCGCGGUAAUACGUAGGUGGCGAGCGUUGUCCGGAAUCAUUGGGCGUAAAGGGAGCGCAGGCGGGCAUGUAAGUCUUUCUUAAAAGUUCGGGGCUCAACCCCGUGAUGGGAAAGAAACUACAUGUCUUGAGUACAGGAGAGGAAAGCGGAAUUCCCAGUGUAGCGGUGAAAUGCGUAGAUAUUGGGAGGAACACCAGUGGCGAAGGCGGCUUUCUGGACGAAAACUGACGCUGAGGCGCGAAAGCCAGGGGAGCGAACGGGAUUAGAUACCCCAGUAGUCCCUGUCUCUUAUACA
This 301-nucleotide ribosomal RNA is filed under the name uncultured bacterium. Its description in RNAcentral is "partial 16S ribosomal RNA". It matches the Rfam family "Bacterial small subunit ribosomal RNA", at positions 509 to 809 of the family's 1533-position model. The record is from RNAcentral.